Molecule: ribosomal RNA, 391 nt
Filed under: uncultured bacterium
Lineage: Bacteria
Description: bacterial SSU rRNA
Rfam family: Bacterial small subunit ribosomal RNA
Source: RNAcentral
GUGUCAGCCGCCGCGGUAAUACGGAGGGUGCAAGCGUUAUCCGGAUUCACUGGGUUUAAAGGGUGCGUAGGUGGGCUAGUAAGUCCGUGGUGAAAUCUCUGAGCUUAACUCGGAAACUGCCGUGGAUACUAUUAGUCUUGAAUCUCGUGGAGGUAAGCGGAAUAUGUCAUGUAGCGGUGAAAUGCUUAGAUAUGACAUAGAACACCGAUAGCGAAGGCAGCUUGCUACACGAGUAUUGACACUGAGGCACGAAAGCGUGGGGAUCAAACAGGAUUAGAUACCCUGGUAGUCCACGCCCUAAACGAUGGAUACUCGACAUACGCGAUACACAGUGUGUGUCUGAGCGAAAGCAUUAAGUAUCCCACCUGGGAAGUACGACCGCAAGGUUGAA